AUUGAACGCUGGCGGAAUGCUUUACACAUGCAAGUCGAACGGCAGCACGGGGGCAACCCUGGUGGCGAGUGGCGAACGGGUGAGUAAUACAUCGGAACGUGCCCAGUCGUGGGGGAUAACGAAGCGAAAGCUUUGCUAAUACCGCAUACGAUCUACGGAUGAAAGCGGGGGAUCGCAAGACCUCGCGCGAUUGGAGCGGCCGAUGGCAGAUUAGGUAGUUGGUGGGGUAAAGGCUUACCAAGCCUACGAUCUGUAGCUGGUCUGAGAGGACGACCAGCCACACUGGGACUGAGACACGGCCCAGACUCCUACGGGAGGCAGCAGUGGGGAAUUUUGGACAAUGGGCGCAAGCCUGAUCCAGCAAUGCCGCGUGCAGGAUGAAGGCCUUCGGGUUGUAAACUGCUUUUGUACGGAACGAAAAGCUCUGGGUUAAUACCUCGGGGUCAUGACGGUACCGUAAGAAUAAGCACCGGCUAACUACGUGCCAGCCGCCGCCGUAA
RNAcentral lists this ribosomal RNA (500 nucleotides) under uncultured bacterium. Its description in RNAcentral is "partial 16S ribosomal RNA". It matches the Rfam family "Bacterial small subunit ribosomal RNA", at positions 30 to 523 of the family's 1533-position model. The record is from RNAcentral.